GACGAACGCUGGCGGCGGGCUUAACACAUGCAAGUCGAACGGAAAGGCCCUGCUUUUGUGGGGUGCUCGAGUGGCGAACGGGUGAGUAACACGUGAGUAACCUGCCCUUGACUUUGGGAUAACUUCAGGAAACUGGGGCUAAUACCGGAUAGGAGCCGCUGCUGCAUGGUGGGGGUUGGAAAGUUUCGGCCGUUGGGGAUGGACGCGCGGCUUAUCAGCUUGUUGGUGGGGUAGUGGCUUACCAAGGCUGUGACGGGUAGCCGGCCUGAGAGGGUGACCGGCCACAUUGGGACUGAGAUACGGACCAGUGUCCAACGGGAGGCAGCAGUGGGGAAUAUUGCACAGUGGGCGGAAGCCUGAUGCAGCAACGCUGCGUGCGUGAUGACGGCUUUCGGGGUGUAAACCGCUUUCGCCUGUGACGAAGCGUUAGUGACGGUAAUGGAUAAAGAAGCACCGGCUAACUACGUG
RNAcentral lists this ribosomal RNA (468 nucleotides) under uncultured bacterium. RNAcentral's name for it is "partial 16S ribosomal RNA". It matches the Rfam family "Bacterial small subunit ribosomal RNA", at positions 28 to 507 of the family's 1533-position model. The record is from RNAcentral.